Otolemur garnettii (small-eared galago) is the source of this 442-nucleotide long non-coding RNA. RefSeq lists it as uncharacterized. The transcript is spliced from 3 exons. The record is from RefSeq and is a predicted model, not a curated record. NCBI's taxonomy places the organism in Eukaryota, Metazoa, Chordata, Mammalia, Primates, Galagidae.
GUGGUUUUAUACGUGGAAAUUAAAUGGCCACAGGCAUAAAAGUAGAAAGUUAUCAGCCAGUUCACAUAUUUUUCCAUUACUUAUUGUUUCUUUAGGAAUAAGGGAUUCCCCAUCAAGCACCCCUACAGAAUUCUGCAAGAAUGGUGGGACCUGGAAUAAUGGCAGAUGUAUUUGUACUGAACAGUGGAGAGGACUGAGAUGUACGAUUGCGGGCAGUCCAAUGGCAAUCCGGCUGUGCAGUGUCUCUGAAUAUGGAGAGAUACAAUUACAAAACGUGACGUAUGGGAACUGCAAUAAGAAUCUGCAGACCCUGGAAAAGCAGGUGGAGAAUGACACAACAUUGAAUGUUACUAUUGCUACUGAAGCCCAGAUUCUAACAUCUAACAGCAAAGACUUAACUGCCGAGGACAUCACUUCUGCUACUAGAGUGGUUGGACAAAUC